Non-coding RNA from Caenorhabditis elegans, 87 nucleotides. The record is from Ensembl. NCBI's taxonomy places the organism in Eukaryota, Metazoa, Nematoda, Chromadorea, Rhabditida, Rhabditidae.
GGUAGUAGAUAUUCAUAAGUAAAGAAUGGGAUUGAAAGAAUUUUGAAGCAGGGAUACAUAACUGGGGUACGUAAACAAAGAAUCUAG